UAAAUAGCUAGGCUUAACAUUGUUAGGUCGCCAGCUUCUUAGAGGGACUAUCGGUGUUUAACCGAUGGAAGUUUGAGGCAAUAACAGGUCUGUGAUGCCCUUAGAUGUUCUGGGC
RNAcentral lists this ribosomal RNA (115 nucleotides) under Glomus sp. RNAcentral describes it as "partial small subunit ribosomal RNA". It matches the Rfam family "Eukaryotic small subunit ribosomal RNA", at positions 1352 to 1487 of the family's 1831-position model. Lineage: Eukaryota; Fungi; Glomeromycota; Glomeromycetes; Glomerales; Glomeraceae. The record is from RNAcentral.